GAUGAAGAACGUAGCGAAAUGCGAUAAGUAAUGUGAAUUGCAGAAUUCAGUGAAUCAUCGAAUCUUUGAACGCACAUUGCGCCCCCUGGUAUUCCGGGGGGCAUGCCUGUCCGAGCGUCAUUACAACCCUCAAGCUCAGCUUGGUAUUGGGCCCCGCCGACCCGGCGGGCCCUAAAGUCAGUGGCGGUGCCGUCCGGCUCCGAGCGUAGUAAUUCUUCUCGCUCUGGAGGUCCGGUCGUGUGCUCGCCAGCAACCCCCAAUUUUUUUCAGGUUGACCUCGGAUCAGGUAGGGAUACCCGGUGAACUUAAGCAUAUCAAUAAGCGGAGGA
Molecule: unclassified non-coding RNA, 329 nt
Filed under: soil metagenome
Description: partial contains 5.8S ribosomal RNA, internal transcribed spacer 2, and large subunit ribosomal RNA
Rfam family: 5.8S ribosomal RNA (bases 1-120)
Source: RNAcentral